This 208-nucleotide long non-coding RNA is filed under the name Mytilus galloprovincialis (Mediterranean mussel). Lineage: Eukaryota; Metazoa; Mollusca; Bivalvia; Mytilida; Mytilidae. The record is from RNAcentral.
UAAAAUAUGGUUGAAUAGUGGAUUGUAGCAGUACUUGUGGAUGAUUUAAUAAGAGUUUAUGUGAAACAAAAUGAAUGAAUUAUAUGAUUAGAAUUAUUCAAAUAUUCUUUGAAGGAAUAAUACUGCUAACUGAUCAAAAGAUAAUAGACUCUAUAAAUAUGAUAAAGGUUCUGAUUUUGUAUGAUUAUAGUUUGUAAUAUUUGAUAUA